Molecule: ribosomal RNA, 872 nt
Filed under: Acremonium sp. NZ-2019a
Lineage: Eukaryota; Fungi; Ascomycota; Sordariomycetes; Hypocreales; Bionectriaceae
Description: partial large subunit ribosomal RNA
Source: RNAcentral
UAAGCGGAGARAAGACAWCAGGGAUUGCCUCAGUAACGGCGAGUGAAGCGGCAACAGCUCAAAUUUGAAAUCUGGCCCUAGGCCCGAGUUGUAAUUUGCAGAGGAUGUUUCUGGCGAGGUGCCUUCCGAGUUCCCUGGAACGGGACGCCAUAGAGGGUGAGAGCCCCGUACGGUUGGUCGCUAAGCCUCUGUGAAACUCCUUCGACGAGUCGAGUAGUUUGGGAAUGCUGCUCUAAAUGGGAGGUAUACGUCUUCUAAAGCUAAAUACCGGCCAGAGACCGAUAGCGCACAAGUAGAGUGAUCGAAAGAUGAAAAGCACUUUGAAAAGAGGGUUAAAUAGUACGUGAAAUUGUUGAAAGGGAAGCGCUUAUGACCAGACUUGGACCGGYUGAUCAUCCAUCGUUCUCGGUGGUGCACUCUGCCGGUUCAGGCCAGCAUCAGUUCGUCCCGGGGGAUAAAGGCUUUGGGAAUGUGGCUCUUCGGAGUGUUAUAGCCCACUGCGUAAUACCCUGGGAUGGACUGAGGUUCGCGCUCCGCAAGGAUGCUGGCGUAAUGGUCAUCAGUGACCCGUCUUGAAACACGGACCAAGGAGUCGUCUUCGUAUGCGAGUGUUCGGGUGUCMAACCCCUACGCGUAAUGAAAGUGAACGUAGGAGAGAGCUUCGGCGCAUCUCCGACCGAUCCYGAUGUUCUCGGAUGGAUUUGAGUAAGAGCAUACGGGGCCGGACCCGAAAGAAGGUGAACUAUGCUUGUAUAGGGUGAAGCCAGAGGAAACUCUGGUGGAGGCUCGCAGCGGUUCUGACGUGCAAAUCGAUCSUCAAAUAUGAGCAUGGGGGCGAAMGACUAAUCGAACCUUCUAGUAGCUGGUUUCCG